AUUGAACGCUGGCGGCAUGCCUUACACAUGCAAGUCGAACGGUAACAGGUCUUCGGAUGCUGACGAGUGGCGAACGGGUGAGUAAUACAUCGGAACGUGCCCGAUCGUGGGGGAUAACGAGGCGAAAGCUUUGCUAAUACCGCAUACGAUCUACGGAUGAAAGCGGGGGAUCUUCGGACAUCGCGCGGACGGAGCGGCCGAUGGCAGAUUAGGUAGUUGGUGGGAUAAAAGCUUACCAAGCCGACGAUCUGUAGCUGGUCUGAGAGGAUGAUCAGCCACACUGGGACUGAGACACGGCCCAGACUCCUACGGGAGGCAGCAGUGGGGAAUUUUGGACAAUGGGCGAAAGCCUGAUCCAGCCAUGCCGCGUGCAGGAUGAAGGCCUUCGGGUUGUAAACUGCUUUUGUACGGAACGAAAAGCCUCUUUCUAAUAAAGAGGGGUCAUGACGGUACCGUAAGAAUAAGCACCGGCUAACUACGUG
RNAcentral lists this ribosomal RNA (482 nucleotides) under uncultured bacterium. Its description in RNAcentral is "partial 16S ribosomal RNA". It matches the Rfam family "Bacterial small subunit ribosomal RNA", at positions 30 to 507 of the family's 1533-position model. The record is from RNAcentral.